AGAACUUAGCAGAGAUGCUUUGGUGCCUUCGGGAACUCUGAGACAGGUGCUGCAUGGCUGUCGUCAGCUCGUGUUGUGAAAUGUUGGGUUAAGUCCCGCAACGAGCGCAACCCUUAUCUUUGUUGCCAGCGGCUCGGCCGGGAACUCAAAGGAGACUGCCGGUGAUAAACCGGAGGAAGGUGGGGAUGACGUCAAGUCAUCAUGGCCCUUACGGCCAGGGCUACACACGUGCUACAAUGGCGCAUACAAAGAGAAGCGACCUCGCGAGAGCAAGCGGACCUCAUAAAGUGCGUCGUAGUCCGGAUUGGAGUCUGCAACUCGACUCCAUGAAGUCGGAAUCGCUAGUAAUCGUAGAUCAGAAUGCUACGGUGAAUACGUUCCCGGGCCUUGUACACACCGCCCGUCACACCAUGGGAGUGGGUUGCAAAAGAAGUAGGUAGCUUAACCUUCGGGAGGGCGCUUACCACUUUGUGAUUCAUGACUGGGGUGAAGUCGUAACAAGGUAAGCGUAGAUGA
RNAcentral lists this ribosomal RNA (516 nucleotides) under uncultured bacterium. RNAcentral describes it as "bacterial SSU rRNA". It matches the Rfam family "Bacterial small subunit ribosomal RNA", at positions 992 to 1509 of the family's 1533-position model. The record is from RNAcentral.